CAACUACUGGCUCUUCACCCACUGGUUAAUUCCACCACUUAUUCAUGCAAUAAUACUUCAAAGCCCCUGAGUUCUUCCUCCCACUCCUCCUGGAAAACCUGCCUCCCCAGGAAAGAACAAUCUUCUGCUGAAAGCAAACCUUUUUGCUUUCUUGUGGUCAGAAUUAUAGACAGGAGGGAACAGAUGGCUGACUUGUGAAGAGACAAAUUCAGGCUGCCAAAGCUUAACAAAGCUAAUAAAAGGAGAGAAGUGUUGUAAGGCGUGAAUGACUCAUCACAGAACAUCCAUGGGGCAGAGGGGCCACUGGGGCCCAGGCUGGCAGAACCAAUGCAGAAAACCUGAAACGAGACAGACAAGUCAUUAGCGACCAGGACCACUGAUUUCUUUCAGUUGUCAG
This is a non-coding RNA of Heterocephalus glaber (naked mole-rat), 397 nucleotides long. NCBI's taxonomy places the organism in Eukaryota, Metazoa, Chordata, Mammalia, Rodentia, Bathyergidae. The record is from RefSeq and is a predicted model, not a curated record.